Molecule: ribosomal RNA, 1380 nt
Filed under: uncultured bacterium
Lineage: Bacteria
Description: bacterial SSU rRNA
Rfam family: Bacterial small subunit ribosomal RNA
Source: RNAcentral
AGGGUUUGAUCCUGGCUCAGAUUGAACGCUGGCGGCAUGCCUUACACAUGCAAGUCGAACGGUAACAGGUUAAGCUGACGAGUGGCGAACGGGUGAGUAAUAUAUCGGAACGUGCCCAGUCGUGGGGGAUAACUGCUCGAAAGAGCAGCUAAUACCGCAUACGACCUGAGGGUGAAAGCGGGGGAUCGCAAGACCUCGCGCGAUUGGAGCGGCCGAUAUCAGAUUAGGUAGUUGGUGGGGUAAAAGCCCACCAAGCCAACGAUCUGUAGCUGGUCUGAGAGGACGACCAGCCACACUGGGACUGAGACACGGCCCAGACUCCUACGGGAGGCAGCAGUGGGGAAUUUUGGACAAUGGACGCAAGUCUGAUCCAGCCAUGCCGCGUGCGGGAAGAAGGCCUUCGGGUUGUAAACCGCUUUUGUCAGGGAAGAAAAGGUUCUGGUUAAUACCUGGGACUCAUGACGGUACCUGAAGAAUAAGCACCGGCUAACUACGUGCCAGCAGCCGCGGUAAUACGUAGGGUGCAAGCGUUAAUCGGAAUUACUGGGCGUAAAGCGUGCGCAGGCGGUUAUGCAAGACAGAUGUGAAAUCCCCGGGCUCAACCUGGGAACUGCAUUUGUGACUGCAUGGCUAGAGUACGGUAGAGGGGGAUGGAAUUCCGCGUGUAGCAGUGAAAUGCGUAGAUAUGCGGAGGAACACCGAUGGCGAAGGCAAUCCCCUGGGACCUGUACUGACGCUCAUGCACGAAAGCGUGGGGAGCAAGCAGGAUUAGAUACCCUGGUAGUCCACGCCCUAAACGAUGUCAACUGGUUGUUGGGAGGGUUUCUUCUCAGUAACGUAGCUAACGCGUGAAGUUGACCGCCUGGGGAGUACGGCCGCAAGGUUGAAACUCAAAGGAAUUGACGGGGACCCGCACAAGCGGUGGAUGAUGUGGUUUAAUUCGAUGCAACGCGAAAAACCUUACCUACCCUUGACAUGCCUGGAAUUCCGAAGAGAUUUGGAAGUGCUCGAAAGAGAGCCAGAACACAGGUGCUGCAUGGCCGUCGUCAGCUCGUGUCGUGAGAUGUUGGGUUAAGUCCCGCAACGAGCGCAACCCUUGUCAUUAGUUGCUACGAAAGGGCACUCUAAUGAGACUGCCGGUGACAAACCGGAGGAAGGUGGGGAUGACGUCAGGUCAUCAUGGCCCUUAUGGGUAGGGCUACACACGUCAUACAAUGGCCGGGACAGAGGGCUGCCAACCCGCGAGGGGGAGCUAAUCCCAGAAACCCGGUCGUAGUCCGGAUCGUAGUCUGCAACUCGACUGCGUGAAGUCGGAAUCGCUAGUAAUCGCGGAUCAGCUUGCCGCGGUGAAUACGUUCCCGGGCCUUGUACACACCGCCC